RNAcentral lists this ribosomal RNA (253 nucleotides) under uncultured bacterium. RNAcentral describes it as "partial 16S ribosomal RNA". It matches the Rfam family "Bacterial small subunit ribosomal RNA", at positions 524 to 776 of the family's 1533-position model. The record is from RNAcentral.
UACAGAGGUCUCAAGCGUUGUUCGGAUUCAUUGGGCGUAAAGGGUGCGUAGGCGGCGCGGUAAGUCGGGUGUGAAAUCUCGGAGCUUAACUCCGAAACUGCAUUCGAUACUGCCGUGCUUGAGGACUGGAGAGGAGACUGGAAUUUACGGUGUAGCGGUGAAAUGCGUAGAUAUCAAGCGGAACACCAGUGGCGAAGGCGAGUCUCUGGACAAUUCCUGACACUGAGGCACGAAAGCCAGGGGAGCAAACGGG